Molecule: long non-coding RNA, 3560 nt
Organism: Trachemys scripta elegans
Lineage: Eukaryota; Metazoa; Chordata; Testudines; Emydidae
Exons: 3
Source: RefSeq, a predicted model, not a curated record
GUGUGUGUGUGUGUGUGUUCAGGGAACAGUUAAAAUGACAAAUUCUUACAGACUGGUUUGAUGGAAGCAAAAACCUACAUAGAACUCCUACGCUUUUAACACAAAACAAUUAUUACAGUCAAGAAAUUGGGCUUGAAGGCUAAUACUCCAUUUGUAUUUCAUACAUUUGUGCCUUUUAAAAACAGUUUUGCAUGACUACAGUCUAGAGGUUUGGGCCUCUAAUGUGGGUUUACAUAUUUUCCAGGACAUCACUUGAACUAAUUAGUACAAAUCAGAGGUCAGAUCUGUGGGAGACUCUUUUGCGGUACAGCAUUGCAUUAUAUGGCAUUUCUUUAUUCUACUGUCCAUGUAUUCUGAUUUUUUAAAAAUAUUUUCAUUAAAUAAAUAUUUUUGCAAGUAGGAGGAAUUUAAAUGAAAUCCCUCUCCGUGAAAUAUGUAUAUUGCUAAUUGACCAGUUUCUUCCUGGAAGAUAUUCCUGCUUUUUAGAAUAAUCAGCACAUUUGUGCUUCCCAUAUGUAGCUCUCAAACCAUUUUAUGAAUUCAGUAAGCAUUAUUAUCCCCAUUUUAUUGAUGGGGAAAUGGAGACAUAUAGAGAUUGUGCCUUGCCCAAGGUCAUACAGAAGGAGAGUAGCAAAGUUGGGAAUAGAAUCCAGGUUUUCUGGAUCCUAAUAUGGUAUCUAUCCACUGCACCAUGUUGUUUUCUCAGGCAAAUAAAAAGAUUUCCUGUUUUAUUAUGGCCUUAAGUUUAGUGAUGUUUAACAUAUCUAUCAUUUCCCCAGAUACUCUUUGAUUGUAACUGAGAACAUUUUAGCCUGUUGCUUGUAUUGAUUUUUGGUGAGGAAAUAGCACAGCCUGCUCCAUUUCAAACUGAAUUUCAAGGGCAUAAAGAUUGUUAGAAUGGAGACGCUACUUAGCUCAACGAGCUUGUUCCCUUUAUUUUUAGCUCAGCUAGGCAUAGAAAGAGCCCAAAGGUUCCAGCCCUUAUUUUCCAUGUUCUGGAUGGAAUCCUGAUUACUUCUGAUGCUGGAGGAACGGGGAAGAAAAAAAUAAUGUGCUGUAUAAACAAUCAAGUAAUGGGCUACGCUCAUGCUAGUGAUAUCUGCGAACAUGACAAGUACACUCUGCCACCCUAACUUGGCUUUAUCCUGGCUCCUCACUACUGCACCACUUUCGGGGCAGCUCCAUUAUUGAGAGUGUGAUUAAAGCUGAAUACAGUGUUCCAUUGUGGGUCUAAACAGUGCUUUCUAAAGCACCAGCCUCCUUUCUUUUGAUUUGAAGUCUCCCCAGCUCCUGAUGCAUUUCAGUGUUUUCUGCCUUUUUUAUUUUUAGAUUUUUUUUUUUUAACUGCAGCCGUGUAUUAGGCUGAUGGCCCUCAGGAAUUCUCCACAAUCACUCUUACAGCUUCUUCCUUGUCAGCAUGCUGCACAAUUGUUCCAUUUUAAUCGGUGUCCCUUGGUUUGGUCAGUUGCUCCUAGGUGUGUUAAUUUACAUUUAUCGACAUUAAUGUACAUUUCCCAUUCAUUGGCCUAGUCACCUGAUCGUUGUUCUAUUGAUGGUCAUCAUGGCGUCUGAUCCAAAAUACCCUGAAGUCAAGGGAAAGACUCCCACUGACUCCCUUGAGCUUUGGAUCAGGCCACGAGGGUGAAAUUCUCAUCAAUUGUGCAAAGGCUGAGUGAGAGGCUUUGUGUGGGUCCCCUAUAUAUGGGCAGUGAAGGAAGGAAAGUUCACUCUUCCCAACCCACAAAGCAUCCCCUAGCUAUUCCUAGCUGCUAUUAUAGCUCACAGGAAGCAGUAAAUGCCACAACCUGCUUUGUUUCCUCUCUACAAGGGUUUGGGCAGCAGCUGCGAGAGUUGCACUGAUCUCUAGUUUGCCCACGUACCCCAUACUCUGCAGCCAUGGCACAAGUCUCCACCAAGCGCUAAUACAGGUGCAGAGUCCCCCCGCUGCCUGUCCCUCACUCUGUGUAGCAGAACCAUGCCAGUUCUACUGUGUUUCAGGCCUCUUGGGCUGUGAAAAGGGAGGCGAGGGUUCCCAAUUAAAGCUACGGCUUGUUAUGGCCAAUGAACUCUGGAAAGAGAGCGAGGAGAAAUGAAUUAUAAGCAGUUUCCACAUUAGGUGAAUUGCUCCUAUCCCUUCAGAAUUCCAGCCGCUUCCAGGGGAGGGUGAGCCGGCCAAUUCUGUCCCACUCUGCGGCCCUGGGAAGCACCAUCCUGUGACAUUGGACCUACUGACGAGCUGUCUGGUAGGGUUGGAUAAGUGGUAGCUUAAUUGGUAUAAGCCUAGUUCUUAGUUUUGUUUUUUUUAUUUUUUUUUAUAUCCCACAGAGCAUAAGACUUCUCAACACUGCACUCACUAUAUGGUUUAAAAAAACAAAACAAAAAAACCUGCCUUUUACCUGACCACCUACCAGCCAGCUCUUCGACCUGUGGAAUCAUUGAUAGCUGUCACAUGACAGAAUGAUGCAUUUUGGGGUGUCAGAGUAGCUGAUGGUGGCUUCCAGAAGUUGGGGGAGAUAUGAAAAUAAAAAUGGCAUGUGUAAAAUUUAAUUGGGUACCUAAUACUCGUUUGCUCCUGGUACUUUGGGGCACCCAGGACACACACUUAUUUUUUUUUUCCAUUGUGGUUGAAAUGUUUGCAGGCUAUGUUUCAAAAAUGAAUGUAAAUGUCAUCUGGACAAUACUUUUUCCACUCUAAAGGCAGACAGUCUUUAUCGUUCAACAGGAAGAGCAGCUCUAGGCUCGAUUUCCAUUAGCUGUGUUAGAGUUGGGAUAUGCUGAGUUUUUUAACUCUUGUGGUGACACUCAAGAAAACUUGGAAAGUGAAAGAGUACCAGAAAGAUGGUAAGAAGAGCAACACUAUUGUGGAAUUCAAGAUCCUGGAACUCCUCAGCAAAUGGGGAUUGGAGCAGGGCCAGGGUCCAGAUAUUGAUCACACAGCAGACCGUGUUAACAUAGGCAAUAUGGACAAAGAGAAAAAUGUUCCACUGUAGCCAUCCCUCUUGCCUCUAGUACUAAUAAACCAGAGAUGUAAAUGUCUAUAGAAGUAGGGUCUCAAAUCCAGUGGCAGAAAAUUAUGGCUAAUUUCUAGUCAAAUGAUAUAAUUUUGCCCAGUUUCCUUAGGAGCUUUGCAGAGGACAGAAAUGUGAACUAAACAGUUUCCAUUUUUUCUUUGCCUAAGGAUGAAACUGUUCUCUAUGGAAUGUACCAUAAGUCGUUCGAGAGCAAGCAAGAAAUGAAAUGGAGUUAUGUCUUGCACACUGCACUCAGCAGAGAUCCCCAAAUGGAAAAAAAAUAAGAACCUCUGAAUUUCUUCAGUUCUCACACGGCAUAUUCUACCAGAAGUUCUGAAAACAUUUAUUAAUUAUACUCCGAGAUACCCCUGGAGGGUGUUGCUUUGAAACACCUUUGAGAGUUGGUGAAGAAGGUGCCAUAUGAACAGACAUUCUGGAAUGAAAAGAGGAGGAGGACAUCUGAAAUUCUGACACAGGAGGAGGAGGACCACAGUUAUGAUGGUAGAGAUCUUGAAGAGCAUGAUGGGGAUGAAGACAGGGCCAAAAAGA